Tympanuchus pallidicinctus (lesser prairie-chicken) is the source of this 2091-nucleotide long non-coding RNA. RefSeq lists it as uncharacterized. The transcript is spliced from 2 exons. The record is from RefSeq and is a predicted model, not a curated record. NCBI's taxonomy places the organism in Eukaryota, Metazoa, Chordata, Aves, Galliformes, Phasianidae.
AUUCCCGUAUAGGGUGGGGGCUCUCUGAGAGUUCUGGGGAGCCGUUCCGUCCCCGUUUUGGGAGGGCAAGCCAGACAGCUGCUGUUGUUAGCAGGGAAGGUGAGAGAGCCGUAGAGCUGCACCUUGUGACUGUGUUUGUGCGCUCCAGGGCGUGCUGAUGCCCAAGAGCCAUCUCUUGUCUGCAUAGCAAAGGAAGGACAAGGCCCCACGUUCUUCGGGAGGGGUGUGUGUCAGGCUAAUCCUGUCCCCUCUGGCUUCAAGCCACACACUCGAUUGGAAAUGCGGGGCUGAAUCGUGCUGCGGCACCUGCGGCCUGAGAGGUACCGAAGAACAGGGCUGGUGGGCCCAAAGGCCGUGAUUGGCAAGUGGCCUUUCCGUUUCAGACAGAAGUGUGCUUUCUAAGGCAUAUCCGUACCUUUAACUUCUGUCUGCAGAGAUGUGUCUGUGGGUUACUUAUCGCUGUUGGGGUAUAACCCUCGAUGCCCGGCUAAAGAGCAGAAAGUUGUUUGCUCUCCCUCCCCGGCCGACACCGCGGACAGUACCGGCAAGGUGAAAGUGCGAGGAGUCACGGGAGAGGCUGAAGGCAGUUUCCUAGGCAAAGCCAAGGCCGCAAGAAGGAGCAAAGCAAAAUGCGGGGUUCAAUUCCAGCUUCCCGUUGGCAGGCAGAUAGCUGUUCAGGCGCUUCCAGGAAAACGGGGCCCAUCACGUGUGGCAGUUUGCUGGCAAGACAAACGGCAUCGCUCGCAAGAUGCCCUCAUGCCUCCUUCCCAGUUUGGCUUUUACUGUGGAGCAUGUCGGUAAGCGGUGCGGAAUGCUCCUUUGCUUCAGUUUGGGCCAUGGGCCCAGGCUGUGUUCCCCCACAGCCUCCCCCGACUUUUUGUGCAACUCCAUCCUUCUUGUUUAGCUGUUAUUUGAUGUUGAUUGAUUGCCUUCCUGUUUUGUUGUUCUUCUUUGGAGAAAGAGGAUACCUCCUCUUGGCUUCUUUUUAAUUCAUUUUUUGUGGCAUUUUUACUAUUUCUUUUCAGCGAUCUUCACAAUAGCCUUUUUCUUCUGAGGUGCUCCCAAUACCCGGAUAGGAGUUCUCCCGAUUCUGUGGUAUUCUGUAUUAUACCUUACCAGUUUGAUAUUUACCCUUUUAAUCCUCCUUGGAUUUUGGUACUGUCUCCAAAUAAUUCUCACUAUUUCUGGAAUUAUUUUGUGCUCUCCCAUCUCUUCCUAUCCUCCAUAAACCUUUACCCUAACUAACUAACACCUGCUCAUUAAAUUUCUUCCUUUAUGAUAUUCAAGCCCAGAAAUGGGAGUGUUAUUACUUUCCUUAACAGCAGCCAUUGUUACAUAUGGAAAUGUUAGGUUGUUCCAGAAGCAGGGAGAAUCACUCUGUUAGCAGUAACAAAUAAAAACGUAUAACACAAAACAUAGUACUAUGGCAACAAAAAUACAAAAUGUAACAUCACACAGCAUCCUCUUGUCACAGACACCACCCUGUGUACACUGAAAUAAAGCAAAUUAGUAACCAGCUCAUCUUUUCCUUAUGAGUUUAACUUCUGACAGUGUGCAUUCCUUGACAGACCAACUAGUUCCUCAGCGUCUUGGAAUAACCUCCCAUAACAAUACUUCAGUUACUCCACAUGCCUUAUUGGUUUACAAAUGAAUGCCUCUGGCCACUGUAAAGACAUAUCAGUACCAACAUACAGCAACACCUUCCUCCCCUUUUUUGGGGAGUUCUGAGAAAUCAAUUUGCCAUUGUUGCUUUCCCUUCUAAAUUAUUAAUUAGAUUCCUAUCUUCUCUAGAAUAUUUUACAGGUUCUGAGUUUUUUAUUUACAGGUUCUUCAGGUUUAGAGAUUUUAAGUUUACUGUCUGGAAUUAAAGCCUUCUUCAACUACCUGUUCUGACACCUGAUUCAUCAUGUUAUUUCUAAUUUCCUGUACAGUGUUACCCUCCUGAUGUCCUGUUACAAUGUAUAACAGCCAUAGUCUUUGGUAGAUUUGCAUCAUGCUGUUUUCCUUGUGUAUACAAUCCUUGCUCUUUUCAUAUGGAAUUGUGAUGUGUAGCAUCCCAAAUAUAUAAUAAGCAUCUGUCCAUACAAUUAA